UGAGGAAUAUUGGUCAAUGGGCGGGAGCCUGACCGAGCAACGCCGCGUGAGUGAAGAAGGUUUUCGGAUCGUAAAACUCUGUUGUUAGAGAAGAACAAGGAUGAGAGUAACUGUUCAUCCCUUGACGGUAUCUAACCAGAAAGCCACGGCUAACUACGUGCCAGCAGCCGCGGUAAUACGUAGGUGGCAAGCGUUGUCCGGAUUUAUUGGGCGUAAAGCGAGCGCAGGCGGUUUCUUAAGUCUGAUGUGAAAGCCCCCGGCUCAACCGGGGAGGGUCAUUGGAAACUGGGAGACUUGAGUGCAGAAGAGGAGAGUGGAAUUCCAUGUGUAGCGGUGAAAUGCGUAGAUAUAUGGAGGAACACCAGUGGCGAAGGCGGCUCUCUGGUCUGUAACUGACGCUGAGGCUCGAAAGCGUGGGGAGCAAACAGG
This 429-nucleotide ribosomal RNA is filed under the name uncultured bacterium. RNAcentral's name for it is "bacterial SSU rRNA". It matches the Rfam family "Bacterial small subunit ribosomal RNA", at positions 355 to 776 of the family's 1533-position model. The record is from RNAcentral.